This 777-nucleotide ribosomal RNA is filed under the name uncultured Neocallimastigales. RNAcentral's name for it is "partial large subunit ribosomal RNA". It matches the Rfam family "Eukaryotic large subunit ribosomal RNA", at positions 24 to 642 of the family's 3401-position model. The record is from RNAcentral. Lineage: Eukaryota; Fungi; Neocallimastigomycota; Neocallimastigomycetes; Neocallimastigales.
UACGACUACAUAUCAGGCAUAUCAAUAAGCGGAGGAAAAGAAACUAACAAGGAUUCCCUUAGUAACGGCGAGUGAAGCGGGAAGAGCUCAAAUUUGAAAUCUUCAAGGUUUUACCUUGACGAAUUGUAGUUUAAAGAAGUGUUUUCUGUUGAAGUUUUGGUAAAAGUUCUUUGGAAUAGGACAUCAUAGAGGGUGAGAAUCCCGUAUUUGACCAUUAUUUUCAGCUGUGUGAUACACUUUCAAAGAGUCGGAUUGUUUGGGAAUGCAGUCCAAAAUGGGUGGUAAAUUUCAUCUAAAGCUAAAUAUUGGCGAGAGACCGAUAGCGAACAAGUACCGUGAGGGAAAGAUGAAAAGAACUUUGAAAAGAGAGUUAAACAGUACGUGAAAUUGUCAAAAGGGAAGCGUUUGACACCAGUGUUGUUUCUACGAAAAUCAAUUUAUGAUGGCUUGAUGCUAAGCUUUAAGACUUUAUCCGCUUGUUGUUUAGUUUUCUUGUCUUUGUGAAUGCACUUUUCGUGGAACAAGUCAACAUCAAUUUCUUUUGUUGUAAAAGGGUCAGAUGGAAGGUGGCUUCGGCUUCGGAUGAAAGUGUUUAUAGCCUUUUAUCUCUGCAGUCGGAGAGACUGAGGUCUGCAGCGUAGAUCCUUCGGGGUUAGAUACAGUCGGUGCUAAGCUAUCAGCUUUUCAUAGACAACUUGUUGACUAUGUUUAGUCUUGUGACUUACCCGCUUAUGCUAUUUUACCUACGCUUAGGAUGUUGAGCGCAUGUCUCUCUCU